UGAUUGUUCUUUCUAUUCUUGAGGAUAGAGCUGUGCUGGUUUAUCAUUGGAUUACGGACGAACAGGGGAUGAGGCAGAGAAAGAUUAUUCUUUCUGUUGUUGAGAACAGAGCUCUACUACCGGAUGCAAAGCCAAUAAACGGGUACGACACUACAAAAAAACGCGAAAUUAGCGGCGCAAAUUACCGGCGGCGAUUUUGCCGUCGGUAGUUACCGGCGGCACGGCGGCGG
Molecule: long non-coding RNA, 230 nt
Filed under: Salvia miltiorrhiza (redroot sage)
Lineage: Eukaryota; Viridiplantae; Streptophyta; Magnoliopsida; Lamiales; Lamiaceae
Description: long non-coding RNA (SMIL_LNC011602)
Source: RNAcentral